GGAAAAAAAAAAAAAAUAAAGAAUGGCCAUACAUCAGUUCAGUAGGUUUCAAGGCAUCACACUCUUGAGAGCACCUCUCACUUUCUUGGAUUGAAACCAAGUUAGUUGUGUAACACUGGUGAACACAAACUUUGUUUAAUGCCUAUAUGAAAACAGUUGGCUUUCCAAACAGAGAGCUUUGAUGUGGAACCAUAUUUAUGUAUUCUUUGCUCAAACCAUUUUUCUGUAGGAUUGGCUCUCAUUUUUUUCGGAGAAGGCUGAGGCUUUGGCCUAUUAUGGGGAUUCCUAGUGAGCCUGGAGCAAGUUUCUUUGUUGAACUUCUUCCCUGGGUAAGGAGCUGAAGUUGUGCCUAUUGAGUAGAUAUUAUAAGAGGCCAUGGUGAUUGAGAUUUCAGCGGAGAAACAGUAUUUGCUGGUUUUCAAGUUGGAAUAUUAAAAUGUACCCGCAACCUCGUGACAACAGUAGAAAAAAACAGUGUGAGAAUUGAUGCACAUGUUCAGCAUUCUACAAUUCUCUACAAAUAAAUAUGGGUAGAAAGAUUUGUGGUAUCUUUCUGUCGUUUUAUGGGUUCAAUAUUCAAUGUCAAUUCCAUAAGAACAUCUGUUAAGAAUUUUGACUUUACCUGAAAUAUGACUUGUGAAGGGUACAGAGAUAAGAUGACUGCUGGCAGGCGCUAGCUUUCGUUGAUUCAAUUUAAGAACAGUACAGGAAUUGUUUCAUUAACAUACCAAAAUUCUUCUGGAGAUUCCUAUGCUGAAUAUUCCCGAAUGUUUGAUUCAAGAAGCAGCUCAAAAGGUGAUAUUAGAAGGUGAAUUGGGCCCCAAGUUGAAGGAAUUUAGAAUCCAGCAAUUCGGAUGUCUAAACAUUGCAUUCUCUUCCUCUUCCAUUGCCCAUGUAUAUGCUACUUCUCAAGGACCCACCGAGCUUUCCCUCUCUAGCCUGUAGUAAAAAAUUUGAAAAAUAAAUAGAAAAAAACGAGAACGGGCAAAAAAUAUAAGAAGCAUAAUGUGAAGAACAACGCAACAAAGAUAAGAAACAGGUUUACUAUUUCUUUCACUUAAAAUGACAUGCAAUUUGUUUCUUCAUACAGAACUAGUAAGGGCAUAACAUGCUGGUAAAAAUUUGUCCAAGAAAUUAAAAGCUUCCAAAUACAAACAUCAGAGUUUCUAUAUCUCAAUACAGCUGUUGAAAUUAGCGGUAUACAAAAUCCUCCAUGCCAUCACUCUGCCUUGGCUGGAAUGUGGUUGCCACUAGUUGCAAUUUUGUACACAUAAAACCCUGUCAUAAGAGCACUGCAAGAAACGACAACAAUUAAGUUCAAAGCUCAUAAAAAUUGAAAUGAAUGUUUCUACCAACAAAGAAAAUCCCCAAACUAUUUACAUAGCUGUCAGGAGUUCUGAUAAACAAAGAGAAAACCUUCAAGUUGAGUAUUCAAAGUUUCAAACCAAAUGGCUAGCCUGAUAAAGAUGUCACAAGCAAUAUGAUGGAAUUAAAUAUCACAUAACAUAACAUGUACACUCUUGUAGUCUAGUUGAGCGAGUUAUGUUAAAAGUCCACAAGCAAAUAAAUGUCUCAUCCCACCAAAAAAAAAAAAAUCUCCCUGAGCUGUUUUAUUUUAUGCUGUGGGUUUUAGUCAUUAACACUAUAAAGCUGUCCAUUUCUAAAUUUUAUCCCUUUCUCUCACCAUUAUGAUGCUCUAACCAGCAACAGUUUCUUCUAACUGGUUUGUAAAUAAUAAAAAUGAUAAACAUUUAACAACAAUUGUUACCAGCAGUGACAGAAACUAGCAAACCAAACUCAGUUCUUAUUAAAUGGUUACCAUACAUCAUAACAAGUUAAUAAAUCAUACAUUUUCUGAUCUUGAUGGUCCUUAAAACAACUGAUGAACAUCACAAUUACAUCUGUAUGGUUAUUGAAAUUUGAAACCCACGGCAUCCCUGAUGACAACCUAGCCAAAUGAGCCAGGCGCCAAGCAGCUGAAUGGAAGAACAAGUUAACUAGUCUUCAGUACCGAAUCAAUUACAUCCCUUCUUGGCAUCUAAAAUUGUUAAGAGGCAAUGUUAUUGCCUAAGAGGCUAUGAAUUCAAAUUCUAAUAAACUUGGAUUGCGAAGUCAUCAUGUAAGAAAGAGAACAAUUCCUGUCUCUAAGUUGGGUUGGCAAAUCUUUGGUGUGGCAAGGAGCAGCUUGGCAAGGAUUCCCCUAUUUUUUAAGCUUCUUGGGUGGCUAAUAUUUUGUGAUUUGAUAGAUGGAUGAGAUAUUUGUACUGAAGGAGAUUUCCCUAGCACCUUGUCAGUAUUUUUGUACAGAAGUUGUGUAAUGAAAUUGAUGUAGAAUUAACCCUUGCCAACAGGUCUGUCAGCGCUAUUCUAGUCAUUUUGCCUAUCCAGGACAAAGGAUGCUUGCCUUCAUUUAUAGAAGUGAAUAUUGAUCUAGAAAUAAGUUGCAAGACACAAACUGAAAAAUUUGGUAUCUAAAGUAAACCAACAUCCAACAUAGCAAACUGCAUUAAGCAUGAGUUAUAUUACCUUAUCCCAGCAAUAAUAGCAGCAGGCAUAAUCUUAGAGGUUUGCACAUAACGCUGUCCCAUGAUGAACGUCAGUGCUGCUGCACAAACAGUUUCGAUGACCAAAGCAAGGUAAGAGUUCUUUCGCCUCCCAAAAGCCUUGAGACUCAAAUAUCCAGCUAAGACGAGAACCAAACCAGUGCCCACUCCCCCACCCAACGACGCCACGCUCCCUCUCUUGACAUACCCAACCAGUCCUCCUACCACCAGAAUUAGACCGUAAGGGAUCGUGAAGCAGAAAUCGUGCAUCUUUUUCUUCUCUCUGUGUCUGAACUGCGAAAACUAAAUUUAGGUUUCCCAAAUCGGGCAAAGAAAAUGUCUCUACGUUUUGGGUUUCCUUCUGUAUUUUUCUAUUGCCAUGACCUGCGAAGGACCUUUAACGAAACUUUCUCGGCUGUACAGUGGAGGCGUGUGGAAUUCCGUUGGCCCACUGUUAGACGAGACAAACUCUGAUGUUUUAUUUUUCUUGUUUCCCUAACUUACCCUUUAAUUAUGCCAAAAUUACAAUUUGGGUCAUCAAAAAUCCAGUACAAACUAUGAGACAUCGAGUGCCACGUGUCGCUGUGAAUAACCGAAGUGUGGGCAAGAUGCCAAAACGGCGACGGAUAACACUAAAGCUCUUCAGUUGACUGUUGUGUAUAUUUGUCUGAGAACCCCGCGUACCGAGUCCUGACCAUGGCAUGGAUCCGGUUAACGACCCGAAACAACCCAAUACUCUGUUCGAUCCUCAAUCCGCAGCAUUGCAAGAAAUUGAACUCUCUUAAAACCCUAACAAUGGCGGUGGCCGAGUCUCAUUCCAAGCGACCCACUUGCCCAUCUUGCUCCAAACCAUCCCGUCUCUGCCUUUGCACUCGGAUACAGAACCCGGGUGGUAUUGAUAACAAGGUGAGUGUAACCAUUCUUCAACACAGUAAAGAAACAAAGCACCCUCUUAAUUCUGUUAGGAUUGCAAAACUGGGGCUUAGCAAUCUCACUGUGGUUACUGUUUCCGAUGUUAAUUUCGGCGCCCAGUUUGUUAUCCGGUUGAUAGAGUCUGAUGGAGUUCCGGAUAGGAAUCAAACCCAGAAACGAAAGCUUGAGGAUAUCGGUGGUUUGAUUUCAGGUAAAGAAAAUAUGGGUGAAGGAUGUGCAAAGUGUUCAAAAGAGAAAGGUUGUAAUCUGGGUGAUGCUAAAGGAGAAUUCAAUUCUGCGCAUGAUUCAGAUUUGUUGGAGAGUUGUGGCUUAGUUUUGGGGACAGAAUAUGAGUCACGAAGCAAUGAAUGCAUCAGUGCAAAUUCUUCAUUUUCUGCAGAGAUACAUUCGACUCUAAAUGAAGCUGUAAUGGCUAACAGUUUUGAUGUUGAACAUGUGUUGCGAGGUGCUGAAGAACCAGUUAUAUGUGCUACCAUUGGCAAACAUGGAGUCAUUAGUCAUCUUGAAAGUAAAUGGAAGCCUUUUCAAACUGAAGCACAAGAAAGGCCAAACUUUGAUCAAUUUUUGGGCUCUCAAUUGGCUGUAGAUGCAUUGGCAAAAGGGUUCAUGGUAAAAAAGUUGCAGAAACGGAAGCUGAAAGAGAGCAUGAAUUUGGAAGAGUAUGAAGAGUUUGAACUUGUAGUUCCUCCUGGAUCAGUACUUUUAUAUCCAAGUGACACAGCAGUUGGCGCUGAUGACCUCCAAGCAAUGAAUAUCGGGGUGAAGAAUUUGAUUGUUUUGGAUGGGACAUGGGCUAAGGCGAAGAGGGUGUAUAAAGAGAAUCCCUGGUUGAGGCUUUUGCCGCAUCUGAAGUUGGUUUUGGAUAAACUGAGCUUGUUUAGUGAGGUGAGACGGCAGCCAAAAGCUGGCUGUUUGUCUACCAUUGAGAGCAUUGUUUAUGCACUGAAGGCAGUAGGGGACAAUCCAGAGGGUUUGGAUAAUCUUUUGGAUGUUUUUGAGUCCAUGGUUGGAGAUCAAAGGCGAUGUAAAGAUGAGAGUUUGCAGUCUGAUCAUUGAGCAAUUCUGGAUACACAACUCUGCCCCACAAUACCAUUUACUUAGGCUUUGUCUGGAUAUGAAAUGAUGUAAUUGAAAAGAAGUGAAACUAUAUGAAGGUGAAAAGGAUAGAAAUAAAUAAAAAUAUAUGAAUUUUCUUCAUACCCAGA
This 4681-nucleotide unclassified non-coding RNA is filed under the name Hevea brasiliensis (rubber tree). Lineage: Eukaryota; Viridiplantae; Streptophyta; Magnoliopsida; Malpighiales; Euphorbiaceae. The record is from RNAcentral.